GACGAACGCUGGCGGCGUGCUUAAUACAUGCAAGUCAAUUGAACUUAGGAUAGCAAUAUUUUAAGGGAGGUGGCGCACGGGUGAGUAACACGUAGGUAAUCUGCCUUUAGGUCUGACAUAACCUACCGAAAGGUAGGCUAAAAUCAGAUGAUGCAGCGGCUCGACAUCGAGACAGUUGUUAAAUCUUCGGAGCCUAAAGAUGAGCCUGCGUCUGAUUAGGUAGUUGGCGGUGUAAUGGACCACCAAGCCUGCGAUCAGUAGCUGGUCUGAGAGGAUGAUCAGCCACACUGGAACUGAGACACGGUCCAGACUCCUACGGGAGGCAGCAGUAAGGAAUAUUGCUCAAUGGCCGAAAGGCUGAAGCAGCAACGCCGCGUGGAGGAUGAAAUACUUUGUAUGUAAACUCCUGUAAGAA
Molecule: ribosomal RNA, 415 nt
Filed under: uncultured bacterium
Lineage: Bacteria
Description: bacterial SSU rRNA
Rfam family: Bacterial small subunit ribosomal RNA
Source: RNAcentral